CCUACGGGAGGCAGCAGUGGGGAAUAUUGGUCAAUGGCCGAGAGGCUGAACCAGCCAAGCCGCGUGAGGGAAGAAUGUCCUAUGGAUUGUAAACCCCUUUUGUCAGGGAGCAAAGUCACCCACGUGUGGGUGUUGGAGAGUACCUGAACAAAAAGCAUCGGCUAGAUCCGGGCCAGCACCCGCGGUUAUACGGAGGAUGCGGGCGUUAUCCGGAUGUAUUGGGUUAAAGGGGUGCGUAGGCGGGUGAUCAAGUUUGCGUUAAAGUCGUGGGUCUAAACUCCAUCCAGAUGGUGAAACUGAUGUGCUUGAGUGGGCGAGAGGUAUGCGGAAUGCGUGGUGUAGCGGUGAAAUGCGUAGAUAUCACGAGGAACUCCGAUUGCGAAGGCAGCAUACCGGAGCCCGACUGACGCUGAAGCGCGAAAGCGUGGGUAUCGAACAGGAUUAGAUACCCUUGUAGUC
This 459-nucleotide ribosomal RNA is filed under the name uncultured bacterium. RNAcentral's name for it is "partial 16S ribosomal RNA". It matches the Rfam family "Bacterial small subunit ribosomal RNA", at positions 338 to 795 of the family's 1533-position model. The record is from RNAcentral.